UUUUUUUUUCUUUUCAUUUAAAUAUAAACCCAUUAAUUUCUGCCAGUCCAGUCUUGCUGCAAUACAGCCAUUGGGCAAGGCUCUGUGCAUUUCCACUCGCAAGGAAGCUGAAAGUGAACUGCUUAAGACUCAGAGUAGGUAUUUUGGUUCAGAACCUCACGAGGUACAACCCGAUGCAGCCUCGCUGAGAGCAGAGGAGCUAUGCCAACUGGAAUGUGCUAACAUCUGGCCUCUUGUUUUUAAUAAGGGAAAGAGUUCCUAGAAUGGACACACUUGAUUAACACCAAAGUAUUCAAGAAUUCAUCAGCAAGCUUUUUACACAGUCACCUUUUACUUCUGUUUGAACCCCUCCAUACAAGCGAUCCAAAUACCUGCUCAUGCUGAACAGUGCAAUAUAUCUCUGGUUUCAGUAAGGAAAUCUCAUGUCCAGCAACAGCUAAAAAAUGUGCAAAAUGUCUCAAAACAGUGCGUUGUAGAUUGCAUCCCCUUUGCACUGGGACAGCCCAGCCCCAAGGAGGGAGUCAGUUAACGUCCAGUAGGAGUUAAGACUGGCUUUCCAGUCACUACCUCCCAGUAAUGAGAAUGGUUGAAGUAAGUUUCCAUGUACUGCUGCUGCAAGGUGGUGGUGUGUGUUCUGCUGGCCAGGGUGCAUCAGGGUAAGAGGCUGGGGACCCCCAUUUGUGCCCCCAGCAGUGAUCCUGGCCCCAGGCAAUUCCAGCUGUUAGCACAAAGGGACUCGGAUGAGUUGGAUCAGUUCAACCUGAAGUAUUUAAGUUCCCGUUGAGGUGUAGGCAAAAGUUAAGAAUUCAAACCCUGACAAGAGCGAAGUGACACAAAGAUUAUGGCAGGCAUCAAGAGGGUUGGAUUUGUUCAGUACUUUCAGCUGAUUACUUUUCAUUUCAGUGGUGUGAUGGAAGAUAACUGUGGUUCGUGAUGCACUGCCUGAAUAUCCUUGGUUUAAUCCCUUACCUUCUCACAGCUUUCAAAAAUCAAUGAAAGAAGGCUGAGGGGGUUGAACUUUGGUAGAUGCUUUGGAAAUCCAUGCAUUUGCAUUGGCAUUUUCCCACAUCCCAAAUACUUGCUUGGGGUUUAAUCCAUGGGGAAAUAAUGUUCUAUGAGUUCUCCAUGGAUUUUUCUCUUAAGGGGGCUUAAGCUGUGUGUUAAGUGCUGUGCUGACAGUCAGGAAGCCAAUAGAUGAUAGUGAUACAUUAGGCUUGAAGUGGAUGAAGCUAGGAAUUGGUUGUGAAGGUCAGGAUAAGAGAGUGGAAGAGCUGACUCUAUCCUACUGGAAGUAGGUGCAUGACUCCAUGAAUGUGUGUUCAGAGAGGUGCUUUCAGAGCUCUGCUGAGAUACUCUCGUGAGUGUGUGGCCAAAGUCCCACUCUGCAGCUGUGCUUUUGCCACACCAGCCACUCUUACCCCCUCUGUAAUCACUUUGUUGGCAUUCUGUCGGGGUGGCUUUCAAGCAUCACAACUUCCCAGGCCUGAAAAUUAAGAGAACCCGAGUAUAUCCCAUCACUAUAAAAUGUGUUCCUCAGCACCAGCCCUGAGAAGUAAGGUCAUAAAGGACUCAUGUGCACAUCCAUAUGUGUGUCUACAUUUAGAAAUACUCUAUGUCCAUGUCUUGCAUGUGUACUGUGCCCGCAGAGCAUGUGAAAGACAGAAGAUUUCUGUGCAUUGAGCCCGUAAGAGCAGCCAAGCUUUCCAAGAGGGAAUGCUUGGAAAACUGCUGUGUCAUCUGAGCAUCUAAAAUGGGUGACAGUUUCAACUGAAUGCCCCCAUCCUACAGACACAGGGUGUGGGUAGGAGGAAGGUCUGGGAGAGCUGAUUCUUCUGCAGGGCCAAGGUGUAAAGAACAUUCAAACAGCGUUUGUCCUUAGUAUUUCAGUGUCUGUUUCCAAAUACGUAUUUAGGAACAGGAAAAAGAAAAAUUCAAAACCCUUAAGCUAAUUCUGUGUGUGACUGUUUCUGUGCUGUGGGUCUGUUCUAGGUUAGUGGGAUCAUUUACAGGAUCUGCAAAAUUUCAGUUUCUGACUGCUUGAAUUGCUUGAACCCUGGGUGGUACAUUAGAACAUUAGGAGAAGAAUCUUUAUGACACAGCACAACUGCCUUCUUAUCAAUCUUUUUGUUUCUAAGCUGAUACAUUUUUUUAAAAGCUAAAAAACAGAUAUUGAUUCUACCAAAGAUACGUAACUACUAAUUCUCAGCAA
Molecule: long non-coding RNA, 2209 nt
Filed under: Strigops habroptila (Kakapo)
Lineage: Eukaryota; Metazoa; Chordata; Aves; Psittaciformes; Psittacidae
Description: lncRNA (ENSSHBG00005016042.1)
Source: RNAcentral